AUCCGAUAAUCGCUUAAUCCUUAAUUAGGAGCGGGGGACCCAAUCUUUUGUGGUGAAAAUCACUAGGGGUGAGUCCAUUUGAAAAAUGGUAGGGCUACUCUCAAUUGCCCGAAUCCGACAGCUAACCCCGUAAGCGUUCUGAGAGAGGAUAC
Molecule: small RNA, 152 nt
Filed under: Bacillus sp. (in: firmicutes)
Lineage: Bacteria; Bacillati; Bacillota; Bacilli; Caryophanales; Bacillaceae
Description: Bacillus sp. c-di-AMP sequence
Rfam family: c-di-AMP riboswitch aptamer (ydaO/yuaA leader)
About the family: This family represents a conserved RNA structure found upstream of the ydaO and yuaA genes in Bacillus subtilis and related genes in other bacteria. The ydaO/yuaA element is thought to act as a genetic "off" switch for the ydaO and yuaA genes in its native state.
Source: RNAcentral